UACAGAGGUCCCAAGCGUUGUUCGGAUUCACUGGGCGUAAAGGGUGCGUAGGUGGCAUGGUAAGUUUGAUGUGAAAGCUCAGGGCUUAACCCUGAAAUGGCAUUGAAUACUACUGUGCUGGAGGUUUGGAGGGGGGACUGGAAUUCUCGGUGUAGCAGUGAAAUGCGUAGAUAUCGAGAGGAACACCAGUGGCGAAGGCGAGUCCCUGGACAACACCUGACACUGAGGCACGAAAGCCGGGGGAGCAAACAGG
RNAcentral lists this ribosomal RNA (253 nucleotides) under uncultured bacterium. RNAcentral describes it as "partial 16S ribosomal RNA". It matches the Rfam family "Bacterial small subunit ribosomal RNA", at positions 524 to 776 of the family's 1533-position model. The record is from RNAcentral.